Molecule: ribosomal RNA, 347 nt
Filed under: uncultured bacterium
Lineage: Bacteria
Description: partial 16S ribosomal RNA
Rfam family: Bacterial small subunit ribosomal RNA
Source: RNAcentral
CCUACGGGUGGCUGCAGUAGGGAAUUUUCGGCAAUGGGGGGAACCCUGACCGAGCAACGCCGCGUGAACGAAGAAGUUAUUCGUAAUGUAAAGUUUCUUUAAUAGGGAAGAAAGAGAAAUCUGACGGUACCUGAAGAAUAUGCUUCGGCUAACUACGUCCCAUCACCCGCGGUAAUACGUAGCGAGCGAGCGUUAUCGGGAAUUAUUGGGCGUAAUGGGUGCGUUGAUGGCAUAGUAAGUCUUUUGUAAAAGUGCUGGGUGAAACCCAGUAGGGCAAAAGAUACUGGAAGGUUAGAGUAUGACAGAGGCAAGUGGAACUAGAAGUGUAGCGGUGAAAUGCGUAGAUA